GGCUGGUCUGAAGGUUGUGAGCUAUCUCAAAUGAUUGUUCACAGUCAACUACAGAUGGAAACCCUCGUUUACUCUUUCCUUCUCACUACUGCACUUGACUGGUCUUCA
This 108-nucleotide Y RNA is filed under the name Propithecus coquereli (Coquerel's sifaka). RNAcentral's name for it is "Y RNA (ENSPCOG00000009265.1)". It matches the Rfam family "Y RNA". From Rfam's summary of the family: Y RNAs are components of the Ro ribonucleoprotein particle (Ro RNP), in association with Ro60 and La proteins. The Y RNAs and Ro60 and La proteins are well conserved, but the function of the Ro RNP is not known. Lineage: Eukaryota; Metazoa; Chordata; Mammalia; Primates; Indriidae. The record is from Rfam by way of RNAcentral.